This 243-nucleotide long non-coding RNA is filed under the name Mytilus galloprovincialis (Mediterranean mussel). The record is from RNAcentral. Lineage: Eukaryota; Metazoa; Mollusca; Bivalvia; Mytilida; Mytilidae.
AUAGCUGUCACAGUCGUUAUUACAAUGGCAAAGCAGUUGACCUUGACAACGGUCGGAACAGCCUCUUUCUGUCAAAGUGCAGAGAAUACAGUGGAGUUGAACCAUUAAACGAAGGAAAUCAUAUCCGUUGUGUAUUCGCUUAGGCAGUUGAAAGCAAAUCUUUUGUUUCGCUGACACAUUCAACAUUUUUAUUAAAUCUAUGUUUAGUUUUGGAUAUUAUGUUAAGCAAUCAAGAGAAAUAAU